GAUGAACGCUGGCGGCGUGCCUAAUACAUGCAAGUCGAGCGAACGGACGAGAAGCUUGCUUUUCUGAUGUUAGCGGCGGACGGGUGAGUAACACGUGGAUAACCUACCUAUAAGACUGGGAUAACUUCGGGAAACCGGAGCUAAUACCGGAUAAUAUUUUGAACCGCAUGGUUCAAAAGUGAAAGACGGUCUUGCUGUCACUUAUAGAUGGAUCCGCGCUGCAUUAGCUAGUUGGUAAGGUAACGGAUUACCAAGGCAACGAUGCAUAGCCGACCUGAGAGGGUGAUCGGCCACACUGGAACUGAGACACGGUCCAGACUCCUACGGGAGGCAGCAGUAGGGAAUCUUCCGCAAUGGGCGAAAGCCUGACGGAGCAACGCCGCGUGAGUGAUGAAGGUCUUCGGAUCGUAAAACUCUGUUAUUAGGGAAGAACAUAUGUGUAAGUAACUGUGCACAUCUUGACGGUACCUAAUCAGAAAGCCACGGCUAACUACGUG
RNAcentral lists this ribosomal RNA (497 nucleotides) under uncultured bacterium. RNAcentral's name for it is "partial 16S ribosomal RNA". It matches the Rfam family "Bacterial small subunit ribosomal RNA", at positions 28 to 507 of the family's 1533-position model. The record is from RNAcentral.